RNAcentral lists this long non-coding RNA (586 nucleotides) under Sorghum bicolor (sorghum). Its description in RNAcentral is "long non-coding RNA (SBIC_LNC011820)". Lineage: Eukaryota; Viridiplantae; Streptophyta; Magnoliopsida; Poales; Poaceae. The record is from RNAcentral.
CGGGAGCAGAGGCAAGGGAGCGCGGAAUGGGGGAAAGAAAGGCGGCUUGGGCUCUAGCACUCCUCAUAUGCGGCCAAGGCGCGGGACGUGGGGGAAAUCGUAGGAGCGGGACGCGGCUCAGGUGGUUGCUGCGUGCGUGAGAGAAGGACGGAGCGGUUGCAGGAGGUGGGAGAUGACAAGUGGGCCUCGCUUGUCAGUCGCUAGAGAGAGGGAAGGGGAGAGGGGAUGCUCACGGCUGACUGGGCCUACAGGCUGAAAAGGGAGGGGGAAGUGAGAGAGAUGGAUUUCCCUUUUUUUUAUUUUUUCCAACUUGUUUUCAAAAGCAUUUACAAAUUGAAUUUUGAACAAAUUUCUUUUGCAUAAUUUCAAACGUCACAAAGAUAAGUGCUACAGCAUGAAUGCAUCGACGUGUUUCUAAACCCAUAUUAAUUUUUUACCCAAAAAUUUAUUUAUUUUUCCUAUAUUAUAAUACUCACAAAAAAAUAUUUAAUUAAAUCAUAUUCAUAUAUUUUAAAGAACAAAAUUUUGGGUGUUACAAUAAGCAUUAGGAACAAACUGAAUCAGAGUUAGGAUGAUUAAACCGUGG